GGGGGCGUAGCUCAGUUGGUUAGAGCGCAUGCUUCACAUGCAUGAGGUCAUAGGUUCGAGCCCUAUCGUCCCUACCA
This 77-nucleotide transfer RNA is filed under the name Bacillota bacterium. RNAcentral describes it as "Firmicutes bacterium (gut metagenome) tRNA-Val". It matches the Rfam family "tRNA". Rfam says of the family: Transfer RNA (tRNA) molecules are approximately 80 nucleotides in length. Their secondary structure includes four short double-helical elements and three loops (D, anti-codon, and T loops). RNAcentral also lists the same sequence under 1 other name. The record is from RNAcentral. Lineage: Bacteria; Bacillati; Bacillota.